This 332-nucleotide ribosomal RNA is filed under the name Anophryoides haemophila. RNAcentral's name for it is "partial Bacterial small subunit ribosomal RNA". It matches the Rfam family "Bacterial small subunit ribosomal RNA", at positions 605 to 937 of the family's 1533-position model. Lineage: Eukaryota; Ciliophora; Oligohymenophorea; Philasterida; Glauconematidae. The record is from RNAcentral.
GGGCUUAACCCUGAGCCUGCUUCCGAUACGGGCAGACUAGAGGUAUGCAGGGGAGAAUGGAAUUCCUGGUGUAGCGGUGAAAUGCGCAGAUAUCAGGAGGAACACCGAUGGCGAAGGCAGGUCUCUGGGCUGUUACUGACGCUGAGGAGCGAAAGCAUGGGUAGCGAACAGGAUUAGAUACCCUGGUAGUCCACGCCGUAAACGAUGAGUGCUAGUUGUCGGCAUGCAUGCAUGUCGGUGACGCAGCUAACGCAUUAAGCACUCCGCCUGGGGAGUACGACCGCAAGGUUGAAACUCAAAGGAAUUGACGGGGGCCCGCACAAGCGGUGGAG